GCGGUCGUAGUCUAGCCUGGUUAGGACCCCGGCUUCCCAAGCCGGGUACUCGGGUUCAAAUCCCGGCGACCGCACCA
This 77-nucleotide transfer RNA is filed under the name archaeon. RNAcentral describes it as "tRNA-Gly". It matches the Rfam family "tRNA". From Rfam's summary of the family: Transfer RNA (tRNA) molecules are approximately 80 nucleotides in length. Their secondary structure includes four short double-helical elements and three loops (D, anti-codon, and T loops). RNAcentral also lists the same sequence under 3 other names. The record is from RNAcentral.